GUACGUAUAGCCAAGUGGUAAGGCUGUUGGUUGCAACCCAAUGAGCGUCAGUUCGACUCUGACUACGUACU
RNAcentral lists this transfer RNA (71 nucleotides) under Caudoviricetes sp. Its description in RNAcentral is "tRNA-Cys". It matches the Rfam family "tRNA". From Rfam's summary of the family: Transfer RNA (tRNA) molecules are approximately 80 nucleotides in length. Lineage: Duplodnaviria; Heunggongvirae; Uroviricota; Caudoviricetes. The record is from RNAcentral.